Molecule: ribosomal RNA, 460 nt
Filed under: uncultured bacterium
Lineage: Bacteria
Description: partial 16S ribosomal RNA
Rfam family: Bacterial small subunit ribosomal RNA
Source: RNAcentral
CCUACGGGUGGCAGCAGUGAGGAAUAUUGGUCAAUGGACGAGAGUCUGAACCAGCCAAGUAGCGUGAAGGAUGACUGCCCUACGGGUUGUAAACUUCUUUUAUAUGGGAAUAAAAUGUUCCACGUGUGGGAUUUUGUAUGUACCAUAUGAAUAAGGAUCGGCUAACUCCGUGCCAGCAGCCGCGGUAAUACGGAGGAUCCGAGCGUUAUCCGGAUUUAUUGGGUUUAAGGGGUGCGUAGGUGGUUUGUUAAGUCAGUUGUGAAAGUGUGCGGCUCAACCGUAAAAUUGCAGUUGAUACUGGCAGUCUGGAGUACAGUAGAGGUAGGCGGAAUUCGUGGUGUAGCGGUGAAAUGCUUAGAUAUCACGAAGAACUCCGAUUGCGAAGGCAGCUCCCUGGACUGCAACUGACACUGAGGCUCGAAAGUGUGGGUAUCAAACAGGAUUAGAUACCCUAGUAGUC